Molecule: ribosomal RNA, 492 nt
Filed under: uncultured bacterium
Lineage: Bacteria
Description: partial 16S ribosomal RNA
Rfam family: Bacterial small subunit ribosomal RNA
Source: RNAcentral
AGUGAACGCUGGCGGUAUGCCUAACACAUGCAAGUCGAGCGGCCGCACAGUAAGAUCUCUCUCCUACGGUUAGCGAGGGGCGGGUGGGUGACACAUACAUCGCAUACCUCUUUUACUUGGGUGACAUCGUAGGAAAACUGAUGCUACUACCGCAUACGUCCUACGGCUGAGAUCAAUAGUUCUUCGCACCUUUCCUGUCUCAUUUAGCCGAUGUCGGAUUAGCUAGUUGGCGGGGUAAAGUCCCACCAAGGCGACGAUGCGUAGCUGGUCUGAGAGGAUGAUCAGCCACACUGGAACUGAGACACGGUCCAGACUCCUACGGGAGGCAGCAGUGGGGAAUAUUGGGCAAUGGGCGCAAGCCUGAUGCAGCAACGCCGCGUGGGUGAAGAAGGUCUUCGGGUCGUAAAGCUCUGUUGUUAGGGAAGAAAAAAAGUAGGUGAAAACCCGGCUGUUUUGACGGUACCUAAAGAAAAAGCCACGGCUAACUUCGUG